CCUAAGCAUCCAAGAAAUCUUCUCCAAGGAGUGAAAAUUAGGUCUGGCCGCCCUCUUCUGUCAAAAGAAUGAGAAUGAAAUCGCAGCAGGGCUAUUUAUAGUUGAGGAGCGUCACAGAAAAUAGCCCAGGCCCAGCGGACAACCGCCCGGCGGCACACUUAUGUCGCCCCGCGGUUUGCCUCUAAUCGCGCCACCACCCGACUGUAGGGGGCCACCACCCGACAGUUUGCCUCUAAUCGCAAAUCCGCCCAACGCCCAUGCCAGGUGUCUCUCCCUCAUCUUGGACCGCCCAGCGGUAAAUUUUGUCGCCGGGCGGUUUCUUAACUCUUCUUUUCUUCAAUUUUCUUCCUCUAUCUUGAGUCUGAGACCUUCAUCUUCAAUCCCAAUCUUCAUUUUCAUCAAAAUCACUACAAAACAAUGCAAAACAAGCAUAAUAUCGCUAAAAACAGCUUUUGACUCUCGACUGACUCAUUUAUUGAGUUUUACUUUAUUCUAAGCUCAUUCUAAGUCUUAAAGGGUGUAAUUUGGUCGAAAUUGACAUAUGAAAAUAACUAUUUUUCAACCGUUAUCACAACCCCAAACUUAGAACCUUGCUUGUCCUCAAGCAAACAAAACAAAACAGCAAACAAAACAAAGCUUGGCUUUCUACUCAUUCAUCCAAUAAUUCAACAUUCCUAAAGUACAUGACAAGAACUACUCAACUUCAGAUUUUUAGUGGAGUCAAAUUAAGAUGCAUGCAUUCUUCCAAUUCAGUUCAGUUCACAAGUCAUUCAACAAAUGUUACACAUUAUGAAUGAUUAAUCCACUAAGCACAGAUGCAAUCAUGAAAUUUAGCAAUUCUCACCAGGCAAGUGUUUCACUUAAUCACUCAAGUGUUUAGGGUAACACUCCAACACUUUAUCAUUCACAAGUCACAUGAAACAAAAUUGCCCUUAAUCUCAAACAAUCAAAAUCUUCACAUGCAAAUGCCAUCAAAAGGACUUUUCCAAGGCUUGUAAUGAGGCUGGGCUAACAAGAAAAUUGGUUUUUCUAGAAUGCAAAAUCCUUGAGUUAAAAGAGCUAUCAUAGUAUUCAACAUUCAAGAACAACUCUCUUCCUCACCAAUCUCUCUUCUUCCCAACUUUUCCCCUUUUCUUUUGCAUUGAGCCCCUCUUCAUGCUUUUCUUCUUUUCUUUUCUUUUUCUCAUGUAUUUUUCUUUCACAACAUUUGAGCUCAAUGCUUUUUUUCAUUUGCCCUUCAAUUUCCCCCAUGCAACCCCAAACUUGAACCUUUUCAUAACAUACAAUCAAGUUCAUCCCAACUCAAGGUAAAGAAUUUCAAGAGAAGGGUUCACAUCCUAUUUAAGGCUAAGGUUCAAAAAGGGUAUAAUAUUUUCAAACAAUUUGGGUGAAAAUUUGGCUAGAGAAGGGUUUUCAAAAAUGGCCUUGAUCAUAUGACAUUCACAUGCAAUUCAAUCAAUCAUCCAGAUUAAGGCAAUAUCAUUCAUUCUUUCCUGUGAACAAUACAUACAACAAUGAAAAAUUUGGAGCUCAGUAUCUCACACAACAUGCUUUCUCACACAAUUCUCAUUCAUGCACUCUACCCAGCAUCAUAACCACUAUCAUAAAUCAUCACCCAUCUGUUUCACAGAAUAUCAACAUGCACUGCAGCUCAAUUAUCAUCCACAUUAAAUCAUCAGCAAAUAGCUUCAUCAUGCAAAAUAAUUAGUCAAACAUUUUCAGAACAAGUAUUCAAGCCAAUCAUACACACUGAAAAUAAAAUUCAACCUAUUAUACAAAUUUAAAUGCAAAAGUAAAAGAGAGAGAAUCUAGGUUGCCUCCAAGUAGCGCUUGUUUAACGCCGCGAGCCUGACCCAAACCUGUUUAGCACUUGUCAGUAAGUGCAAAUCCUUCCAGCACCCAUCAGUAGGUGUACCAUCCUAUGUUUCAGCAAUUUCAAAAAGUUUGACAUCCCCCAGUAGAUGCCACCCAAAAAUAGUUCCAAAAAUUCAAAAAUUACAUGUUCAACACAAACAUAAAACAAAAUAAUAAAAAUUGUUCAAAAAUACAAAAAGUGCUUUCCAGCAAAUCAACUCUUUUUCUUCAUGCUGGGAUCUUCAUCGUGCCACUUGCUCAGCUUUCUUCUCUCCACCUUUCGAAUUGUUGUGGAGUAAGGCCUUCUGAUCUCUAUCAUUCCCUCCUCCUUGAGCUUCCUGUUCACAAUCCACUUCCUGUUUUUAAAUCGCACUGACAUGCCACGCAGGAAUGAUGUGUCCUCUGAGUGGGUUGAUUCCUCUAUGCACACUUUCUUCUCCUCAAGAAUCUGCAAAACAUGACAAUUAUUACGAUAUUCAAUACCUGUGGUGUUUUCUUCUUUUGCAGCUUCUCUUCUGGCCUUUUUGUAUUUGGCUCUUCUUAUUGCUCUCAUCUUGGUUUCCUCAGAGCCAUAAAUUAACAUUACUUGGUCAUGAUCUCUUAGCUUUAUUCCUCCCUCAUGGAUACGUAUGACCAUCUUAGAAGUCCUCAUGAAAGGUCUUCCCAAUAUUAUCGGAAUUCUUCCCUCAUUGGCUAUGUCCACAACUAAAAAGUCAAGUAAAAAUUCCAACUCAUUAAUUCGGACAAUUGCAUCUUCCACCAUACCGAUUGGCUUCUUAAUAGAUCCAUCCGCAAUCGUUAAAGUAGUGUUUGUUGGUUUUAAUUUUAGCCCUCCAAUCCUUUUGAAAGCACUAAAAGGCAUCAAAUUAACGCUUGCUCCGGAAUCAAUUAUGGCUCUCCCUAUGUCCACAUCAUUGAUCACACAAGGAAGCGUCAAAGUCCCUGGAUCCUUCAAUUUUUGCGGAUGAUCCUUCUUUCGAGGCUUAACCAACCGACCCUAAUCGCCUUCAUCAUCAAGAUCAAUCACCUCUCCCAAAUAGUACUUGAUUCUCUUGUCAUACUCAGGAAUUCGUGGGGAUGCUCCAGGAGUAACAAUUACCUGAUUGAAUGUUUCUCUGAAGGGCUCUUGGUAACUGUCCUUUUUUUUCUCCUCCUGGUUCUUCUGCUUUUUAACCUUAUGGUCAUGAAUUCUCUCCUCAUCUUCAUCCUCACUGUUCCCAAUCUCAAUUAUUUCCUCAGCUGCCCUCCUUUUUCUUCUUGUCAUAACAACUUUGCAUUCAUCUUUGGGGUUAACAUCAGUAUUAGCCAUAAACUGAUUUUUCUCUGUGGUUUCUACUCUUUUUGAGAACUGCCCAAUCUGUGUUUCCAAUGACCUGAAGCUAGCUUGAUCGCUAUUCAACUGAGACUCAUAGACCUUGAAGAAUUUAUCAAAUCGGUCACUUAGGUCUCUGACUAUCUCUAUCAAGUUGUUCACCUGCUGCCAUAAAGGUGAUGGUUGUUGCUGUCGAAAGCCUCCUACCGAUCCAGAAGAAUUUUUCUGAUGUUGCGCAAUACUGGGGUGAUUCUUCGAACCCUGGCUGGAACUGCCUUGGUUGAAAGCCCCUUGCUUGUACGGAAACUGGGCUCCCAUGUAGUUAACAUCAUGCUGCAACUCCUCGGGAAAAGCACACUGACCAUUGAUAUGGUCUCCACCACAUAAGUUGCAAAGUUGCUGCGUCUGAGAAACGUUCCUUACCCCCAUUGGAAAUUCAGCAAGGAUCUUUGUCAGCUUGUCCAAUUUCUGGGUCAGGAGAUGAUUUUGUGUUGCCAUCACAUCAUUAGCAAGGAGAUGUAAGAGGCCUCCCUUCUGCGCGCCUCUCUCACUGUGUACCACUUCACUCAUGGCCAUGCUCUCAAUCAGAUCAUAUGCCUCAUCUUCAGUCUUGGUAUUUAUGUUGCCUCCAGCGGAAGCAUCUAUCAUCAUUUUAGACUGAGUAUGGAGGCCCCCCAGGAAGGCAAGUAGAUAUGAAGUCUUAUCAAGUCCAUGGACAGGCGUCUUUCUUACCAAGCCUUUAAAUCUAUCCCAUGCUUGGCCUAGAGUUUCCUCCAUUCCUUGUUUAAAGGCCGAGAUCUCUAACUUCCCUUGAUUGAUCUUGGUUGGCGGGAAGAAUUUGUUCACAAAUUUAGCUGCCAACGCAUCCCAGUUUCUGAAUGUACCUUCCUCGAAAAAAUGCAACCUCGCUUUGGUGUUUCCCCCAAGAGAUAAAGGGAACAGACUGAGUCGAACCCUGUCGUCAGAGACUCCAUUGAUCUUCACGAUGUUGCAAAUCUCGCUGAAAGUGGUUAAAUGAUCAUAUGGAUUUUCAUUUAACAUUCCGUGAAACUGAUUGCUCUGAACAAGCUGAAUAAGAGCAGGGUUCAUAACCAUGUUGGUUGCAUUGUCUGUAGGCAAAGCUAUGUUGUUGAAGUUCAUAGGACCCACCAUGUUGGAUGCGUCCCCAAGUGUACGUCUAGGAGGUGGUUGGUCCGCCAUCUCCUCAAUAUUUUGUGCAGAGGUCUCAAAAGAAGAGUGCAAAAGUUCUUCAGGAGAAGGAAAACUUUCACUUGCAGGGCGUCUCACUUUCCUCCUUCUCCUGUCUAAGAGUCCUUCCAAAAGAGGUUGUUGGUCUUUUCUGCUUCUAGUGUGUCUUGUUUCCUGCAUACACAAGAAACACACCCUAAAAGCACUUUUACAGAAAAUAAAACAAAAUUAAACAGAACAGAAUAAAACAAAUUAUUACAAACAACUCAAAUGUCAAUCAAUUCACACUACUAAAAAUAACCUCGAGUCCCCAGCAACGGCGCCAAAAACUUGUUGACUCACUGGCAAGUGUACCAGAUCGUGCAAGUAAUAUAAUCGGUAAUGCCCGAUAUCGUUCUUCCCAAGAGACUCGAAAGGAUCGUUCGUGUGAAUUAAAAUCGUAAGACUUGUUGAGAGAAAGAAUUGUUGUGAAUGCAAGGACAGAAAAUAAACAUGCAAUGGGUUGAUUCAAUUGACAAGAGAAAAAGCUAUGGAUGAAUGAAGUUGUUGGGGGUUGACAAUUUCAUCUUAUCCGCUCCCUCUUAUCUACUCCUCUUGUUUAAUGUACUUGAUUAUCCAAUUGUUAUGCAAACUUUCUUGACCUAUCCUUAACCCGAUCCCUCGGCGAAAAUAGCCUAUUACUAAUUACCAAUUUGUUAUCCCUAACCUCCCCUAGCAAUUAAUAAUGCAUUAAGAACAAAAGCAAAAACAAUUGAUCGUCCUACCCCCUAUCCCUAGGUUGGUAUUGCUUAAUCAACGAAUUUCUCACCAGUUCAUGACAUUACUCUACGUUCGCAUAUCAAUAAAGACAAACAACAGUUAUCGAAUGAGUUAAACGAUAAAAGUAUUAAGCGCAUAUGAGAACCCAACAAUUGAUAAUCAAAUCAUAUGAAGAAUCAUAUAAAUAAACAAGAGUUUCAAUAAAAGAGAGUUUCAAAAGAUUACAUUGUUUCCCCAACAAUAGAAGGGUUUAGUUCACCAUUGUCAUGGUGAACUUAGAUGAAAAUAAUGGUAGAAUGGAAGAGCAAACCCUAGAUAGGAUGAAAAAGGAGCCUAAGCAUCCAAGAAAUCUUCUCCAAGGAGUGAAAAUUAGGUCUGGCAGCCCUCUUCUGUCAAAAGAAUGAGAAUGAAAUCGCAGCAGGGCUAUUUAUAGUUGAGGAGCGUCACAGAAAACAAGCCCAGGCCCAGCGGACAACUGCCCGGCGGCACACUUAUGUCGCCCGGCGGUUUGCCUCUAAUCGCGCCACCGCCCGGCGGUUUGCCUCUAAUCGCAAAUCUGCCCAGCGCCCACGCCAGGUUCCUCUCCCUCG
This 5703-nucleotide long non-coding RNA is filed under the name Vigna radiata. RNAcentral's name for it is "long non-coding RNA (VRAD_LNC015175)". Lineage: Eukaryota; Viridiplantae; Streptophyta; Magnoliopsida; Fabales; Fabaceae. The record is from RNAcentral.